UGGGUUUCGGAUAUUGCUCCAAGAGUCUUUUUUUGUAGGUACUGAUGCUUUACAUAUGUGUGCCAAUUUUCGUGCAUGUACGUGAAACACAGCUCGAGGGCUGUUGAUUUUUUUACGAUAGGUGGCGCUGUCGAGCCAUUUUGCCACACCCUCUUCUGAAACCUAUAUCAGACGAAAAUUUUCACCAGGUCUGACGCGUGUGCAAAGUUUCAGGACUUUUCGAGCAUGUUUAGGCCCUCAAAAAUGCGAUUCAUUUUGGAGAAGAAGAAGAAGAAGAAGAAGAAGAAGAAGAAGAAGAAGAAUUAAAGCUGCAAGCAGCGAUGAACGGGCCCUCGCACCCGGG
This is a long non-coding RNA of Cyprinus carpio carpio, 343 nucleotides long. Lineage: Eukaryota; Metazoa; Chordata; Actinopteri; Cypriniformes; Cyprinidae. The record is from Ensembl.